GACGAACGCUGGCGGCGUGCUUAACACAUGCAAGUCGAACGGAAAGGCCCUGCUCUUGCGGGGUGCUCGAGUGGCGAACGGGUGAGUAACACGUGAGUAACCCGUCCCUGACUUUGGGAUAACUCCAGGAAACUGGGGCUAAUACCGGAUAGGAGCUACUGCUGCACGGGGGGGGUUGGAAAGUUUCGGCGGUUGGGGAUGGUCUCGCGGCUUAUCGGCUUGUUGGGGGGGUAGUGGCUUACCAAGGCUUUGACGGGUAGCCGGCCUGGGAGGGUGGCCGGCCACAUUGGGACUGCGGUACGGCCCAGAAUCGUACGGGCGGCAGCGGUGGGGAAUAUUGCACAGUGGGCGGGAGCCUGUUGCGGCGGCGCCGCGUGCGGAAUGACGGCCUUCGGGUUGUAAACCGCUUUCGCCUGUGACGAAGCGUUAGUGACGGUAAUGGAUAAAGAAGCACCGGCUAACUACGUG
This 468-nucleotide ribosomal RNA is filed under the name uncultured bacterium. RNAcentral's name for it is "partial 16S ribosomal RNA". It matches the Rfam family "Bacterial small subunit ribosomal RNA", at positions 28 to 507 of the family's 1533-position model. The record is from RNAcentral.